AGUGAACGCUGGCGGUAGGCCUAACACAUGCAAGUCGAACGGCAGCACAGUAAGAGCUUGCUCUUACGGGUGGCGAGUGGCGGACGGGUGAGGUAUACAUCGGAAUCUACUUUUUCGUGGGGGAUAACGUAGGGAAACUUACGCUAAUACCGCAUACGACCUACGGGUGAAAGCAGGGGAUCUUCGGACUUUGCGCGAUUGAAUGAGCCGAUGUCGGAUUAGCUAGUUGGCGGGGUAAAGGCCCACCAAGGCGACGAUCCGUAGCUGGUCUGACAGGAUGAUCAGCCACACUGGAACUGAGACACGGUCCAGACUCCUACGGGAGGCAGCAGUGGGGAAUAUUGGGCAAUGGGCGCAAGCCUGAUCCAGCCAUACCGCGUGGGUGAAGAAGGCCUUCGGGUUGUAAAGCCCUUUUGUUGGGAAAGAAAAGCAGCAGGUUAAUACCCCGCUGUUCUGACGGUACCCAAAGAAUAAGCACCGGCUAACUUCGUG
RNAcentral lists this ribosomal RNA (492 nucleotides) under uncultured bacterium. RNAcentral's name for it is "partial 16S ribosomal RNA". It matches the Rfam family "Bacterial small subunit ribosomal RNA", at positions 29 to 507 of the family's 1533-position model. The record is from RNAcentral.